ACAGAGCUAUGUCAGCGGUACAGGCUCAGAAGGAAGCCAUCUCGGUCUCUUUCUGGUCUUCAGUGCACAGUGGCCAGGACAGCCUCCCCCACUUCACCGAAUCACAUUUCUUCAGCAGUUUCCAACAGUGAAAUCAUUUCUAGGACAAUGGCUGCUAACACGUGUCAGCUGAAGCACUGCAGAUCGAGUCAUCCAACUCAAGCUUCUUCCUCUUAUUGGAAGGGAUAAACCAGGUAAGACUUUUUAAUCCAGAAAUUAUUCCUAUUCCCUGCAAUGUAUAGGGUGCUUUCUAUCUGCAAAACUCUAAACUCAAAUUUCUGCAGGUUCAGAUUCCAACUGUCUCAUGCGCAGAGACUCUCCCAUCACAAAAUUCUUCCCGCUCCAGCCAUCAUCUGUUUCCUCCUCAGCCUUUCCCUUGAAAUCCAGAGCCCUUUCCUGUCCGUUAGAGGCAAUCAGUCAUGUUUCAGUGAAGCUUGAGGCACUGGGCCCCCCAGUGAACAAAACCAGACAUCCUGACCCCCUACUCCUGCGGUCUGUGCAGGGCUUGCUUUAGCAUGCUUGGCUUGUGGGGAGGGGGUGUGGCAGCCAUUCCCACACAAGGUCACGCAGGGAUGCCACAGUGCGUUCAAGAGUAGAAUCCACAGCCUUCUCUCCGUAACUCUGGGCCUUGCUGUAAAUAGCAGAGGCUUGGGCUGGGGAUCCUGUAUCACUGGACGGGAUGUGCCAAUGAAGAGAAGGCUGAGAAGCAAGUUGGUGUAGGAGAAGCCCAGUGCUCCUGGUGGACACAGGCCUGCAUUCAACCAAAUGUCUGAAGACAAGCGAAAGCCUACAGCCCCAAGCGCAAUGAUCUUUCGUCACUACAGGUUUCAGAAGUCUUACCGCACGGAGCCAGUGGUUAGCAGGUGCUUGAUACAAACAUCCUGCAGGGAGGCUGUGAAGAUUCUAACUGCAGCACUUACGGAGGAGCACUUUAGCGUGCGGUAGAUUUCCUAGAUAACCUGAGGUCUUAAGAAUUCAUGCGGCAGACUCCGCUUCGCUUCUGGUUCCUUUCAUUUGGAGUCUGCCUAACCAGUUUUUCUCUUAAGUUCCAAGACAUCUUCUUCCUGUUGAGUAGAACCUGUAAAACACGCCACCUGUCUGCAGGCGAACAGAGGCUCUGAAGGUUCCAAAAUAGCUAAGCCCACGAGCUGUCUCCAGCCCCCAUGGAGUCCUGGGAUUCUCACCAGAUCCAAAGAUGACAGGAAUGGGAACCAGUUAGGCAGAGGAAGCAAGACUUGAGAGACUGGGAGUGGGGAAGCCGCCAGGCAGUGGGCAGCAGGCCUGCGCUUGUGAGGAAUGGGAGACAGGAAGUGGGUGUCCACAGGACAGAGACGGAGGGGGACAGCACGAUGGUCACUGCAUUCAACCAAAUGUCUGAAGACAAGCGAUCCAGCCCCGGGAUCCCGACACCAGUUGCUCUGUCUCACCAGAGAGCCUCUCUCCAGGCGGACCACCUGUCAGCCUGCUACUGCCACCUUUCACUCUGCCCACCUGGAGCUGCUGGAGUGUAGCCACCACGUGAGCUUCUAGCUUUUGUGUUUGAGCCUUUGCCAUUAGAGAUUGAAUUUCCUCACACCUGCGGUUGCUGUCGUGCCUUGAUGGGGUUUUUAUCCCCAGGCAGAUAGUAACAUAUCCUGUGACAGCUCCCUGGGGAAGGCGGAAACCAAUUUCAGAGAAAGAGGCUGAGCGCUUGCUAGUGCAGGGAGGAACUAAGAUGACGAAGCAUCGCACGGAUGAGUCGUGGCCUUGCCGGCUUGACGGCGGGUAGAAUGCAGUGCCACCCUCCCCAAGACCACCAUCUGGCCAGGAGCCCCGGCCCCACCUUUCCUCCUUCGCUUGUGCCUCCUGGCACUUCCCGCAGCCCUCCCCUGUUGAGUGUAGGCGUUCUGCCCGGGGCAGUCGCUGUGAGAGAGGCCAUGGCCUGGACUAGGGUGAUGCGAAGAACAGAACUUGCUACCAGAUUGGAUGCAGGGUUGGGGACUCCACAGUGACUCCACACUUCUUAACCUGAACAAUGAAUUGCCAAAAUAGAUAACAGAAGAAAUUGGGGAAGAAGAGUUGUUCUAGCCAAUAGAGCAGCUAAAGCCAAAAAAAAAAAAAGUCUUCAGUGAUGUAAAGCCUUGCAGAGUAUGCGAGAUGACCUGGACAGUGAGAGGCAGGAGGAAGACUGCUCUGUGGUGCUCUGAGUGUGAAGGCAUUUGUCAUGCGCAUCCCCCACACAGCCACCAUGGGGCUCUGGUUAGGGAUGGAGCCCCCUGAGUCCGAGCUGCUUCAUCUGAAAUGGGGAUGAAGGUGCCUCAUAGAAAGUAUUGAGUAAAUAUGAGGCGCUCUUCUGGUUUACUGUGUUCUCAUAUAUUUCACACACAAUGCUCAGAGAGUUGGAAUACAGUUAAAAUCAUUAGAUCUGUACGCUGUCAUUAUUCAAACCACCACAGCUCCCGGUUCAUCAUUAGGAAUACUGGUUCUCUCCCCUCUGCUGAGGGGUGAUUUCCCCCAUCCAGGGUCUUGAAAUUUUCUUCUACACACUGAAAGCCUUAGCACAAAGCUCCAUAUGCAGAGGGGGAUGGUGGGUGACCCUGCCCAUGCAGUUCCUCAUUUUGGCUUCUUAAGGCCAAGAAGAUCAACCUCUACCCAGAUUCUGCACACAAACCAGUGUUGACGUUUUUAUUUUUCUGUACUUUUUUUUUCCAUAAUAAACACUGCAUGUGCCCUCUUUAACUUCA
This is a long non-coding RNA of Homo sapiens (human), 2762 nucleotides long. The record is from Ensembl. NCBI's taxonomy places the organism in Eukaryota, Metazoa, Chordata, Mammalia, Primates, Hominidae.